CGGAUUGGCGAUUGUACGUCAAAUGCACCAGUUCCUCAUGGAUCACUGUGGUUAGUUAACGUUGCGCGUGGUUAGUAUCUGAAUGGGUGACCAUUUGGGCGAUCGCGUGUUGGCUUUU
Molecule: ribosomal RNA, 118 nt
Filed under: Diaphorina citri (Asian citrus psyllid)
Lineage: Eukaryota; Metazoa; Arthropoda; Insecta; Hemiptera; Psyllidae
Source: RNAcentral